This 68-nucleotide transfer RNA is filed under the name Hydatigera krepkogorski. RNAcentral describes it as "tRNA-Asn". The record is from RNAcentral. Lineage: Eukaryota; Metazoa; Platyhelminthes; Cestoda; Cyclophyllidea; Taeniidae.
GUCUAUAUAGAUUAGGAUAAAAUCGUGAUGCUGUUAACUUCAAGAGAUAGUGGAUACUAUUAUAGUCG